This 171-nucleotide microRNA precursor is filed under the name Oryza barthii. RNAcentral's name for it is "MIR812 microRNA precursor family". It matches the Rfam family "MIR812 microRNA precursor family". Lineage: Eukaryota; Viridiplantae; Streptophyta; Magnoliopsida; Poales; Poaceae. The record is from Rfam by way of RNAcentral.
AAAAAGACAAACCCUAGGUUUCCAUGUCCAACUUUAACUAUCCUUCUUAUAUGAAAUUUUUUUAUAAUUCAUAUUUUUAUUGGUGUGACUUGUCUUUUUAAUUUUUUUAUAAUUUUUUUAAAUAAGACGGACGGUCAAACAUUAGACACGGAAAUUAGGGUUUGUCUUUUC